This 347-nucleotide ribosomal RNA is filed under the name uncultured eukaryote. RNAcentral's name for it is "SSU rRNA". It matches the Rfam family "Eukaryotic small subunit ribosomal RNA", at positions 594 to 945 of the family's 1831-position model. The record is from RNAcentral.
AUAGCGUAUAUUAAAGUUGUUGCAGUUAAAAAGCUCGUAGUUGAACUUCAGACCUGGUCGGGCGGUCCGCUUAACGGCGUGUACUGUCUGACUGGGCCUUACCUCUUGGUGAGCCGGCGUGCCCUUUAUUGGUGUGCGUCGGGGAACCAGGACUUUUACCUUGAGAAAAUUAGAGUGUUCAAAGCAGGCUUAUGCUCGAAUACAUUAGCAUGGAAUAAUAAAAUAGGACGUGCGGUUCUAUUUUGUUGGUUUCUAGAAUCGCCGUAAUGAUUAAUAGGGAUAGUUGGGGGCAUUGGUAUUGAGUCGCUAGAGGUGAAAUUCUUGGAUUGACUCAAGACCAACUACUG